Ochotona curzoniae (black-lipped pika) is the source of this 209-nucleotide long non-coding RNA. RefSeq lists it as uncharacterized. Lineage: Eukaryota; Metazoa; Chordata; Mammalia; Lagomorpha; Ochotonidae. The record is from RefSeq and is a predicted model, not a curated record. The transcript is spliced from 3 exons.
GACUCGCUGUCCUGAAAUAUUGACAAAUGUGGAAAGAACAGCGCAUGCACGCACACAGCCUCUUCACCCAAUCACCUUCUGAAGGGAGAGAAAAUCCUUCCUGAAACCCAGGGACUCAUUUCAACUUCCUGCUUGAAAACCUUUGUGGACAGCCACUGCCUAUCCAAGAUAAAGUCCUCGGGAUCCAAACUUGCUCCCUGCCUGUGGCC